UUGAAAGGGAAACGAUUGAAGUCAGUCGUACCAGCGGGAAAUCAACCUUUCGAGGGGGGGUUUUGGAGUUUUUUGAAGAGUGUCAAAACCUUUGAGAUUUCAAAAUAUUCGCUCUUUUGGUGUACUUUCUCGUGGGUAGGNUAACAUCGAUUUUGANCAUCAUAAAAAGAUUGGAGGAAUGUAGCUUCGAUCUUGUAUUGAAAAGUGUUAUAGCCUUUGGUAAAUGUGAUGAUUAGGAUCGAGGAUUGCAACGAAUACCCUUUUGGGCUAUCCGCCUGAUCUCUGAUACGUGGCCUUGGUAUCGAAAGCGUGCUUAUGGUAUUGAGGUAUUACGGUCAAAAGGUUAGAACGGAUUACAUUCGUUAAGGAUGUUGACGUA
Molecule: ribosomal RNA, 379 nt
Filed under: uncultured Glomeromycotina
Lineage: Eukaryota; Fungi; Glomeromycota
Description: LSU rRNA
Source: RNAcentral